Molecule: transfer RNA, 76 nt
Filed under: bacterium
Lineage: Bacteria
Also listed under: 2 other names
Description: tRNA-Lys
Rfam family: tRNA
About the family: Transfer RNA (tRNA) molecules are approximately 80 nucleotides in length. Their secondary structure includes four short double-helical elements and three loops (D, anti-codon, and T loops).
Source: RNAcentral
GCGCUAUUAGCUCAGUUGGUAGAGCAGCUGACUCUUAAUCAGCGGGUCGAAGGUUCGAGUCCUUCAUGGCGCACCA